This 1143-nucleotide ribosomal RNA is filed under the name Triticum aestivum (bread wheat). Its description in RNAcentral is "partial small subunit ribosomal RNA". The record is from RNAcentral. Lineage: Eukaryota; Viridiplantae; Streptophyta; Magnoliopsida; Poales; Poaceae.
AUGCUCCGGCUCCGGUGCUGCCUCCUCACCCAGCUCCUCUCAUCUCCCUCCGCGUCUCCCGCCUCCCAGCUCCACCACCUCUUCUCCGCGGCCGUCUGCCCCAAUCCUGCCUUCGCCGUCGACGACUACCUCGUCUCCACCUGCGGCCUCACCCGACCACAGGCCCUCAAGGCCUCCGCCAAGCUCUCCCACCUCAAGUCCACCGCCAACCCCGACGCCGUGCUCGUCUUCCUCGCCGGCCUCGGCCUCUCCGGCGCCGACGUCGCCGGCGCCGUAGCCAAGGACCCGCAGCUCCUCUGCGCCGGCGUGGAGAGGACCCUGGCCCCCGUCGUCGCCGGGCUCACCGGCCUUGGCCUCUCGCGUUCUGAGGUCGCACGCCUCGUCUCGCUUUGCCCCGACAAAUUCCGUCGUAGAUCCAUCGUCUCCACGCUUGAGUACUGCUUGCCCCUCUUCGGCUCCUCCGAGAACCUCUUUCGAGCCCUCAAGAGUGGCUCCGUUCUCUCCUCCGACCUCGAGCGGGUGGUCAAGCCCAAUGUCACCUUCCUGCGGGAGUGCGGGCUAGGUGCUUGUGACAUUGCCAAGCUAUACGUACUUAGGCCAUCGACCCUCGGCAUCAGCACGGAACGCAUCCGGACAGCAGUGGCGUGCAUCGAAGGUCUUGGUGUACCCCGUGGAUCUCCGAUGUUCAGACAUGCACUACAAGCUGUUGCAUUCCUCAGCGAGGAGAAAAUCACCGCCAAAGUGGAGCACUUGAAGAAAGCGUUCAGGUGGUCGGAUGUCGAGGUGGGCAUUGCUUUUUCUAAGUCUCCAACGUUGCUAAUGAGGGCUAAGGAAUCACUGCAGCACAGGUCCGAGUUCCUCAUCUCUGAGGUGGGGUUGGAACCGGCAUACAUUGCUUAUCGUCCGGCAAUGCUCACUUACAGCUUGGAGGGCCGGAUCAGACCCCGGUACUAUGUCGUAAAGUUUCUCAAGGAAAAUGGAUUGCUCAAGCGUGACCCGAGCUACUAUACUGUUUUCAAGGAGUCCGACAUGACAUUCAAGAAGAAGUUCAUACACCCUCAUAAGGAAGCUGCACCGCACCUUGAAAAAGACUACGAUGCUGCUUGCAAAGGGGAAGUGCCCACUAAUUUCAGAUUCACAUAA